GAUGAACGCUAGCUACAGGCUUAACACAUGCAAGUCGAGGGGCAGCAUGACGAUAGCUUGCUAUUGUCGAUGGCGACCGGCGCACGGGUGAGUAACGCGUAUCCAACCUUCCCGUUGCUAGGGGAUAACCUUGCGAAAGUAAGACUAAUACCCUAUGAGGUUCUUCGCAGGCAUCUAAAGAGAACGAAAGAUUUAUCGGCAACGGAUGGGGAUGCGUCUGAUUAGGUUGUUGGCGGGGUAACGGCCCACCAAGCCUACGAUCAGUAGGGGUUCUGAGAGGAAGGUCCCCACAUUGGAACUGAGACACGGUCCAA
Molecule: ribosomal RNA, 314 nt
Filed under: uncultured bacterium
Lineage: Bacteria
Description: bacterial SSU rRNA
Rfam family: Bacterial small subunit ribosomal RNA
Source: RNAcentral